UGUUCACACGUAAGAAAGAGACUUGUCCAGCUCAACUUUCCCCAAGCGCCCUAUUUCCAAGCUGUGGAUCUCUUCGUCCACUCUCCUGCCUGUUCUCACUGUCUUCCAAUUGGAAGCAGUGCAUCCUCUGCUCAGCCAUGGUCUUGCUGCUCCUCCUCGUGCUGAGGAUGUUUUUUCCCAUGAGAGACACUACAGCCCAGCUGGUGACGCAGCCUGAUGUCCAGAUCACUGUCACUGAAGGAGCCUCUCUGGAGCUCAGAUGUAACUAUUCCUAUUCCUAUACUUCAGCACCUUAUCUCUACUGGUAUGUCCGGUACCCUGGACUGGGCCUCCAGCUUCUCCUUAAGUACCUUUCUGGGGACACCAUGGUUCAAGGCAUCAAAGGCUUUGAGGCUGAAUUUAGGAAGAGUGAAUCUUCUUUCCAUCUGAGCAAACACUCUGUGCAUUGGAGCGACACAGCCUUGUACUUCUGUGCUCUGGGUGCCACAGUGUCUGGGGCUGCAAGGGAAGCUGAGCACAAACCACCUGUGACAGUAGAGUUUCCAGAGACUGAAGGCCUCACCCAUUGUCUCUGAAUGAUCUCUUGCUUUCUGAUGGCAAAUGGGAGAAGGAGGGAUGGGCAGGUACAGAGACUUGUACACAAUGCUACAGAUCCUUCGGCAAUAGUAUAUGUUCUAUGAGCUUUAUUUCAGAAGUGUUUACUCAUUGUGAAAGCUAUAUAAUACUAAAU
Molecule: non-coding RNA, 730 nt
Organism: Castor canadensis (American beaver)
Lineage: Eukaryota; Metazoa; Chordata; Mammalia; Rodentia; Castoridae
Source: the annotation of a RefSeq genome assembly